AUUGAACGCUGGCGGCAGGCUUAACACAUGCAAGUCGAGCGGGGAAAGGUAGCUUGCUACCUGACCUAGCGGCGGACGGGUGAGUAAUGCUUAGGAAUCUGCCUAUUAGUGGGGGACAACAUCUCGAAAGGGAUGCUAAUACCGCAUACGUCCUACGGGAGAAAGCAGGGGACCUUCGGGCCUUGCGCUAAUAGAUGAGCCUAAGUCGGAUUAGCUAGUUGGUGGGGUAAAGGCCUACCAAGGCGACGAUCUGUAGCGGGUCUGAGAGGAUGAUCCGCCACACUGGGACUGAGACACGGCCCAGACUCCUACGGGAGGCAGCAGUGGGGAAUAUUGGACAAUGGGGGGAACCCUGAUCCAGCCAUGCCGCGUGUGUGAAGAAGGCCUUUUGGUUGUAAAGCACUUUAAGCGAGGAGGGGGCUACCGAGAUUAAUACUCUUGGAUAGUGGACGUUACUCGCAGAAUAAGCACCGGCUAACUCUGUG
RNAcentral lists this ribosomal RNA (485 nucleotides) under uncultured bacterium. RNAcentral describes it as "partial 16S ribosomal RNA". It matches the Rfam family "Bacterial small subunit ribosomal RNA", at positions 30 to 507 of the family's 1533-position model. The record is from RNAcentral.